AUGAGAAGAGGAAUUUCUUUUCUUCUUUUUUUUCCUCUUGUUUAUUCCCAGUACCUUAAGCUGUACUUAUCACAUUGUAAGUCCUCAAUAACUAUGAUGUCGAGAAAGAAAAAGAGAUAUUUACCCAGGCAUUGUUUUACUUUCCUGUAUUUCAUGCAUGCGUGCAAUGCACUAUGUUUUUUACUUGUAACAAACCAUUUAAAAAUACUUCUAUUUUUUUCCCUUUCUAAAGCCAAUGAAGGAGGCUAUACGAUCUCACACUCCCAUGAAAGAGACAACUACUGUGGAGAUCUGGACUCAUCCCCAACCACAGCGGAAAUCCGAGGGGAAAAGGGCAGGAAAGAAACACAAUUCAGGAGUUUCAAUCGUGGCUCAGCGGAAACAAAUCUGACUAUUAUCCAUGAGGACACAGGUUCGAUCCCCAGCCUUGCUGAGUGGGUUAAGGAUCCAGUGUUGCUGUGA
Molecule: long non-coding RNA, 462 nt
Filed under: Sus scrofa (pig)
Lineage: Eukaryota; Metazoa; Chordata; Mammalia; Artiodactyla; Suidae
Description: lncRNA (ENSSSCG00025034736.1)
Source: RNAcentral